This 491-nucleotide ribosomal RNA is filed under the name uncultured bacterium. RNAcentral describes it as "bacterial SSU rRNA". It matches the Rfam family "Bacterial small subunit ribosomal RNA", at positions 588 to 1084 of the family's 1533-position model. The record is from RNAcentral.
UCAGUUGUGAAAGUUUGCGGCUCAACCGUAAAAUUGCAGUUGAUACUGGGUACCUUGAGUGCAGCAUAGGUAGGCGGAAUUCGUGGUGUAGCGGUGAAAUGCUUAGAUAUCACGAAGAACUCCGAUUGCGAAGGCAGCUUACUGGACUGUAACUGACGCUGAUGCUCGAAAGUGUGGGUAUCAAACAGGAUUAGAUACCCUGGUAGUCCACACAGUAAACGAUGAAUACUCGCUGUUGGCGAUACACAGUCAGCGGCCAAGCGAAAGCAUUAAGUAUUCCACCUGGGGAGUACGCCGGCAACGGUGAAACUCAAAGGAAUUGACGGGGGCCCGCACAAGCGGAGGAACAUGUGGUUUAAUUCGAUGAUACGCGAGGAACCUUACCCGGGCUUAAAUUGCAGUGGAAUGUAGUGGAAACAUUACAGCCUUCGGGCCGCUGUGAAGGUGCUGCAUGGUUGUCGUCAGCUCGUGCCGUGAGGUGUCGGCUUAAG